GAUGAACGCUGGCGGCGUGCCUAAUACAUGCAAGUCGAGCGGUAAGGCUUUCACAGAUUAUUUAACCAGAUAAGUUCUUCGGAAAACUGUUUGCAGCGAUGAUUCCCCGGCUAGGGAAUCAGAGUUGAAUAAUGCGUGAAAGUACACGAGCGGCGGACGGCUGAGUAACACGUAGGAACGUACCCCAAAGUGAGGGAUAAGCACCGGAAACGGUGUCUAAUACCGCAUGUGAUCUUCGGAUUAAAGCUUCGGCGCUUUGGGAACGGCCUGCGCAUGAUUAGCUUGUUGGUGAGGUAAAAGCUCACCAAGGCGACAAUCAUUAGCUGGUCUGAGAGGAUGAUCAGCCAGACUGGGACUGAGAACGGCCCAGACUCCUACGGGAGGCAGCAGUAGGGAAUUUCCACAAUGGACGAAAGUCUGAUGGAGCAACGCCGCGCGCAGGAUGAAGGGUUUCGGCUCGUAAACUGCUUUAUCUGUGAAGAUUAUGACGGUAGC
RNAcentral lists this ribosomal RNA (495 nucleotides) under uncultured bacterium. RNAcentral describes it as "bacterial SSU rRNA". It matches the Rfam family "Bacterial small subunit ribosomal RNA", at positions 28 to 479 of the family's 1533-position model. The record is from RNAcentral.